This 577-nucleotide small RNA is filed under the name Arabidopsis thaliana (thale cress). RNAcentral describes it as "ATSL034850". Lineage: Eukaryota; Viridiplantae; Streptophyta; Magnoliopsida; Brassicales; Brassicaceae. The record is from RNAcentral.
AUUUACUGAUUCUCAGCAAUGUUUUGUUGGUUUUAUCCUCUUUUGAGAGAAACUUGAUAUAAGUGUUAUCUAAACACUCCUUAUCCAUCUUUAACUAUAAUAAUUAGUCAAAUGAAUUGGAUUGUGACACAUUUUAACCAUAAAACACUAAAAGAACCGUUUACAGCUUCUAAGUAAUUUUUGGUUUUAGCCUCUUUUGGGAGAAAAUGGGUAUAAGUGUUAUCUAAACAAUUUUAAUCCAUCUCUAACUCUUAUAAUUAGUCCAAUGCAUUGGAUUGUGACACAUUUUGACCAUAGAAACACUAACAAAUAUAUUUACCGCUUCUACGCAAUGUUUUGUUGGUUUUAGCCUCUUUUGGGAGAAAAUGGGUAUAAGUGUUGUCUAAACACUCCUAGUCCAUCUUUAACUCUUAUAUUUGGUCACAUGCAUUGGAUUAGGACAUAUUUUGACCAUAGAAACACUAACAAAUAUAUUGACUGUUUCUAUGCAAUGUUUUGUAGGUUUUGGCCCCUUUUGGGAGAAAAUGGGUAUAAGUGUUGUCUAAACACUCCUAAUCCAUCUUUAACUCUUAUUAUU